This is a long non-coding RNA of Labeo rohita (rohu), 432 nucleotides long. RefSeq lists it as uncharacterized. The record is from RefSeq and is a predicted model, not a curated record. The transcript has 2 exons. NCBI's taxonomy places the organism in Eukaryota, Metazoa, Chordata, Actinopteri, Cypriniformes, Cyprinidae.
CUCACAAGCAGUAAUCCUAUUGGUUGACAAUGUGAUUAAUAACCGGACACCUGGCAGAGAUUAGUGGAACAAACAAGAAGCCACAUGAACUUAGAGAAGAUGACAGAGAAGUCAUCUUUGAAUGUGGUAUUUCUGGUUCAGUGCUGCUGGAGGUCAUGAGAAGGUGGCAGGAGAAGCAGGAGAGCAUCCUUUGAUGGGGGGAGCAACUGCUGGAUCCUUGUUGACCUCUGACCUUUUUCUGGACUCUGAAGUGCACAGUUUGUUGCUGUAAUGCACCUUUGAGCUCUUGGACUUGUCUGAUUAUACCAGCUCGGACCCAUUCUUUUGGUAAACGCUUUGACGGACCAUUUGUUUAACCAAAUGCCUUGAGUUAGAAACUGAUCAUUGAUUUGUUUGUAUAAUGUGUGCAAAAUAAAAGGAUAUGUAACGUGA